Molecule: unclassified non-coding RNA, 286 nt
Filed under: Hevea brasiliensis (rubber tree)
Lineage: Eukaryota; Viridiplantae; Streptophyta; Magnoliopsida; Malpighiales; Euphorbiaceae
Source: RNAcentral
GCCGUCUUCACUCGCCGAAGCGGCGGCGCCGAUUCGGGUAUUGCUCGAGCACUUAUCCAGAUCUUGUCGCUCAUUAAUGAUAUCCCUGUUAGCUCCAGGAAGUAUGAAGUUGUUCGAUCUUUGGCUGAGAAAAUUAUAGAGGAGAAUCAGAGUGGGGAUGCUGAGGCUUUGCGUUUAGUCAACCGUACAAGUUUAUCAGCGGCUUUUGAGAGGACUCUUAGCCAGCUUGAAGCGUCCAUGAUGGAGCUCGGCUAUGAACCGGACGUGAAUUGGCAGGGUCAGAACC